GUAUGUAGCAUAAUACCGUUUAAAGCUAUAAUUAGGUGUGAUAGGCUUUUCAAAGGCUACGAUAUCUUGAUAGUACCGAAACGUAUUUAGUACGCAAAACGAAUAUGGAGUGUUUAGGCUCUAUAUAUGCCCAAAGAUAGAUGAGAGCAUUUAAAGGCCUAAUCACCUUUUAUAUAUAAAGAUUAUUAUAAAUGUGUGUACGUUAUGGGGUGUAAAGGUGCUUCUAGUUAAAUUAGGACAUAUAGGGAUAAUGUUUCCAUAAGUAUAAAAACUAGGCGUUAAGAAUGAACUCGGCAAAAAAUGUUCUCAACUGUUUAUCAAAAACAUAGCUAUAUGUGUUUAUAUAUAGUUAUUUCUGCUCAAUGUUUAAUAAAUAGCCGCAGUACCUUGACUGUGCAAAGGUAGCAUAAUCAAUUGGCUUAUAAUUGAAGUCUAGAAUGAACGAGAAAAUGGGGACAGACUAUAUUAUAUAUGCCUCUAUAAAUUACUUAAUAAGUGAAAAGUCUUAUAGUUAAAUAAUAGACGAGAAGACCCUAGAAAUUUUAAGACUACGUUAAACUAAGGUUUUUGUUGGGGCGACACAGUAGCAUUAGAACCUACUAAGCAGCAUGGGAAAGUUUUAUCAGGUGUAAUUAAAUUACUCUAGGGAUAACAGCAUAAUAUUUAAAAGUUUGUGACCUCGAUGUUGGACUAGGAAAUUAUAUACCCAGAAGGUUAUUAAUGAGGCUCUGUUCGAGCUAUAUUCUCCUACAUGAUCUGAGUUCAGACCGGCGUAAGCCAGGUCAGUUUCU
This is a ribosomal RNA of 791 nucleotides. It matches the Rfam family "Archaeal large subunit ribosomal RNA", at positions 1542 to 2708 of the family's 2987-position model.